RNAcentral lists this ribosomal RNA (253 nucleotides) under uncultured bacterium. RNAcentral describes it as "partial 16S ribosomal RNA". It matches the Rfam family "Bacterial small subunit ribosomal RNA", at positions 524 to 776 of the family's 1533-position model. The record is from RNAcentral.
UACGAAGGGGGCUAGCGUUGUUCGGAAUUACUGGGCGUAAAGCGCGCGCAGGCGGUCCUUUAAGUCAGGGGUGAAAGCCCAGAGCUCAACUCUGGAACUGCCUUUGAAACUAGAGGACUUGGGUACGGGAGAGGUGAGUGGAAUUCCGAGUGUAGAGGUGAAAUUCGUAGAUAUUCGGAAGAACACCAGUGGCGAAGGCGGCUCACUGGCCCGUUACAGACGCUCAGGCGCGACAGCGUGGGGAGCAAACAGG